GAUCCUGGCUCAGGAUUAACGCUGGCGGUAUGCCUAACACAUGCAAGUCGAACGGAAUACUCGAAAAGAGAAUCUCACACUAGUGAGAGGUUCUCCAACCGAGUAUUUAGUGGCGGACGGGUGAGUAACACGUUGGAACCUGCCCCGAAGUGGGGAAUAACUGCUCGAAAGAGUAGCUAAUACCCCAUAGUAUCCGGCUUAUCCGGAUUAAAGAUUUAUCGCUUCGGGAGGGGCCUGCGUCUGAUUAGCUUGUUGGUGGGGUAAAAGCUCACCAAGGCGACGAUCAGUAGCUGGUUCGAGAGGAUGACCAGCCACACUGGGACUGAGAUACGGCCCAGACUCCUACGGGAGGCAGCAGUGAGGAAUCUUCCACAAUGGACGAAAGUCUGAUGGAGCAAUACCGCGUGCAGGACGACGCUUUUCGGAGUGUAAACUGCUUUUGUCGUCGAAGAUUAUGACUGUAGACGAAGAAUAAGGACCGGCUAACUACGUG
This 493-nucleotide ribosomal RNA is filed under the name uncultured bacterium. RNAcentral's name for it is "bacterial SSU rRNA". It matches the Rfam family "Bacterial small subunit ribosomal RNA", at positions 15 to 507 of the family's 1533-position model. The record is from RNAcentral.